GGAGAGAAUGAGCUUGGAGCCGCAGGGCUUAAUCCCGCGCGGCUCAGAGAUGGGUUUCUGGACUCGCGAAGCAGCUGCAACAAGGCAUCACUCACUGUAUAAGUAUUUCCAUUUCUGAGAGCAAAAGGAAGAACUUAAGCGGGCGGCACUUGGAGUGUAAAUUGCUUUGUAGUAUUUAAAGGCAGAAUGGAUCCUGGGCAGCCGAGCUGAUCAUGAGGUUCCUGAGGCCUCCUAGCCAUGCUUCCUGUGCAGCCUAUGGAACUCAACAAACCGGCAGGACUUCCUGUGAAAUCAUGACCACCAUGUGCUCUUUCAGCCUCUAUCAGUUCCUACCUCUAAGCACCUGAGAGCCAAAGCAAACCACAGGAAACCACAGGCCUUUGGAGUCAGACUGGAACUACAGCAUUGACUCUUCCGGAACUCCAGCUUACUGACUACAGAUCUUGGAACUUUUCAGCUUCCACAACCAUAAUGAAAGCCAAGCAUAUUCCAUCAUUUCCUAAAACCAAGAUAGAGCACAUAUGGGAACUUGUGAAAUAAGGAUGCCCUGCGGUUGUUUUCAGGACUGAAGACAACAGCUCCACGAUGUAUCUUUGCAUAAGAAUACACUUGUAUAAUAAGUUUUUUUUUUUAGAGAAAUUGCAUGUAUCUGCCUUAUAAACUUUUUCAUUCAUUCAUUUUCUUUCUUCCUAAUCUGUUCCAUAAAGCAAAUUUCUAACUUAUUGUUAAUCAAAAUAAUUAUUGAAAUAAUUAGUACUUUCAUAUGAUAAAGAUUAUUUUAAUCUGCAGCUACAAAAUAUGUAACUCAUUAAUAUUUAAACAAUCACAAUUUUCUAUUAACAUUAUAGCAUUUUAUCUACUACUAGAUCAGGAAUUAGCUAUUUUUUGUAAAAUUUCUUUGUAAGGCAAAGCAAUAGUAUUGUAUAUACUUUCCUAAAGAUUGUCAAGUUCAGUUUUGCUUAAAUUUAACAGUACAUGUGACACUUUCUGUUUGAAGAAUAAGUUGGUUUUAAGUUUAUACCAAACAAAAGCAUCUCUUUUGUUUUGCAAAAUCUGAAACUUUGAUCUUUCUAGUUGUGACUUCUUGUAAAUAUGUUUUAUAUAAAUAUUCUAUGAAUUGGUUAUUAACAAGGUAAAGAAAGAUUGAUAUGUAAGCUGAUUCUUAAACAUUAAUUUUCUGGAGAUAAACUUUUUUAAAAUUAUGCUUUAAAAAUAUUUUAACACAUGUUAUCAAAAAGGAACUGAAAUAUCUUAGGCAUAAAAGACAUCUCUAGAGGUCAUUAUUCAGUUUCCAGAAAGUACUGAAACUAUCUCUGACAGAUUGAUACGUUUUCUGCAUUUAUAGCUCUCUGGAGAGAGGUUCUGUAUAUUUAACAAUUCUCACUGUGAGGGAUAUUUUAAGUAUUUCAAAUUUAAAGUGCUCAUGUUUCAGAUUCAGAUUAUUAUUAUCAUCAUCAUUAUUUUGGUUCUGGCUUCAGUAAAAAUGUGAAAAACACUUUUCCAUCUUCUGAUAAUAUUUCAUAUUUAUAAAAUUAUUAUUAAGUUAUAACUCAGCUUUUUCAUUUAUGCUUUAAAUCCUUUUAUUAUCUCAUCACAACCAUCUUUGACUGUUUAUCAGAAAUGGUUCUCUUUUGUACAUUGACCAUUAUUUUAUAGAUCACAUUUAAGUUAAUAUAAAUCAUGCCUAUAAAUUUCAGCCUGCUUAUUUUUUAUAAUCUAGUCAGAUAUCAGCUAGACAUAUUGUUACCAAGUUUGGAGAGCCUUGGGAUAAGCUAGUUUCAAAACUGGCUGUUAGCAUCCCUCAGUUGUGUUUUGGGAGCAAAGGACACCCUUAAAAAAGGGAGGCAGUUAUAUUUUGUGAGCAUUAUAAAAUAAACUUAAAUUCUCAUAAAAUUAGUGAAUAUGUUUGGAACAGUGUGAAUUACGUGUGUGCUACAUGAAGUAUAUAGAAUUCAUUUGAAGUAGGAAGUCUGGCCUUACCUCAAAAGACAGUCAUUCAAUUAAGCAGUUAAACAUAAGCCACCAUAAGAAGUUUUUUUGAUACUUAGAGAGAGAAAGGCAACGUGUAUUAAAAUUCCGGGACCAUUAUCUCAGGAGUGCUGUGUUAUUAUUGACUGGGGGCCUGCUGGGAAGCUAGAAAUAUAUCUAAAAUGUGGCAGGUGGUUAAUUAGAGCAUAUGAAUAAAUAUAUAUAAAUUUGUUAAAGCGUUCACUUAUGGUAAACUAUACCUCAAUUAAAAAGAAAAAAUAUGCACAAAGAAAAUAAAUAAUGAAUGGAAAUAUGAGCCUCUAAAAUCAAAGUUAGAAAAGCAGAUAUUCAAAUUUGCAGAGCUGAUUGUCAACUGGAAUGAUUGUGAUAGAAUCAAGUCUCACUAGCUCAUUGGAAAUAGGAUUUGUUAAGGUAAUGAUGGUUAAUGAUUUUUCAGCAUAAUAACAGCCAAGUUAAUGUAUGGGUGCGUGUGUGUAUCCAUAGGUGUAUGUUUUUACAUGCGUAUUUUUAUUGUAAAAUUAACAUGUUUAUUGAAAACAAGAAAGCACAGAAAAUAUCAACUUAAGUAAAGAUCAACAUAAUUUAGUUCAAAAUUAUAUUCAACAGUGCAUUAUUUCAAUGUUUUUUAUCUUAAUCCAUUUGCUUGAAAGCAUUGAUAUAUGCUCCAAAUUUCCUCCCAGAUUCCACUUGGGGAAAUAUUUAGUAUAUUGGAUUAUGAAAUGAUUUAUCUUUACCUAUAUUAUUAGUAAAGUUCUUAAAAUUUUUAGCCUGUUACUGUCUAUGUGAUUAGUGAUAUUGUUCACAUGACUAAAAUUCAAAGAUAAAAUAUGAUUAUAUUUUAUGGGUGAAAGUUAGGAAGCAAAAUAGCAUAUUAAUACAUUUAACUAAAGUAGUAUUCAUUUGGAUAAUCAAGGUCAAACACUUCAAAAAUAAUAAUUUUAAAGUUAAUGCUUUCAAAAAAUAAAUUAGCAAAAAUUAUUUACUUUGUUUCUUAAAAAGAAGAAUUAUUGAAAAAAAUUCUACCAUCAAAAAAUAGUUGUUCUAUGCCUAGUUUAUUUUAGUCACUGAAUAAGACUGAGCCCUUGACCUCAUAUUUUUUCCUGCCUCACCAUUAGCAGUUAGGUUUAGCUAUGCAAACCUUUAUUUAUUCAACAUAUAUAAAAUACUUAGUAUGCAGUAGAUGUUAUUCUAAGUGCUUGGUAGAUAUCAACACAUUUAAUAAUCAAAACAACUCUAAGAGGUAAUUAGUACUAUUAUCUCCAUUUUAUUACUGAGGAAACCAAAGCACAA
Molecule: long non-coding RNA, 3279 nt
Filed under: Homo sapiens (human)
Lineage: Eukaryota; Metazoa; Chordata; Mammalia; Primates; Hominidae
Description: long intergenic non-protein coding RNA 1322
Source: RNAcentral